UACAGAGAGUGCAAGCGUUAAUCGGAAUUACUGGGCGUAAAGCGCACGUAGGUGGAUAUUUAAGUCGGAUGUGAAAUCCCUGGGCUUAACCUAGGAAUUGCAUUUGAUACUGGAUAUCUAGAGUAUGGUAGAGGGAAGUGGAAUUUCCGGUGUAGCGGUGAAAUGCGUAGAUAUCGGAAGGAACACCAGUGGCGAAGGCGGCUUCCUGGACCAAUACUGACACUAAAGUGCGAAAGCGUGGGGAGCAAACAGG
Molecule: ribosomal RNA, 253 nt
Filed under: uncultured bacterium
Lineage: Bacteria
Description: partial 16S ribosomal RNA
Rfam family: Bacterial small subunit ribosomal RNA
Source: RNAcentral